Molecule: long non-coding RNA, 323 nt
Organism: Cicer arietinum (chickpea)
Lineage: Eukaryota; Viridiplantae; Streptophyta; Magnoliopsida; Fabales; Fabaceae
Source: RefSeq, a predicted model, not a curated record
GCUAAGUUCUGCUAUGGAGUUUCAAUCAACAUUAGUGCUCAUAAUUUUGUACCUGCACUCUGUAGCUUCUCCAAAUGAAUGAGUCUAUUGAGAGGGGAAACUUUGUAGGUUAAAUGGUCCUACACUUAAACUAGGCCUGGUUACAACAGAAAACAGCAUCAUUCUGUCCCAAAGGAUUGGUGGACUGAGGAUGUAUCCAUUAUAAACAUAGAUCUUUUCAGGUGCAUAAUAAUGACUACUAGAUCAACACAUGUUCUUCCACCACAGCUUAUUGGUGAAGCUUUACAUGUCUAUGCAUGUAAGUGGUUACCUUGUAUCAUAAA